AUGGUGCACGAUGGGGAUGGUCCUGCAGCAAGAGGAGGUCGAAUGGCGGAGCAGCAGCAAGACGAAGUGGGGCCAGUGUCGGCCUUGGCGUGGAGCAAGGGAAGCAGAGCUUCUGGAGGCUUGAGGGGCCCCGGACUUCGGGCGUGCGAUGCCACCGGGAGGAGGCGAGACAAGGCGUCGGAGGAAGCUGAGCAGCAGUAA
This 201-nucleotide ribosomal RNA is filed under the name Triticum aestivum (bread wheat). RNAcentral's name for it is "partial small subunit ribosomal RNA". Lineage: Eukaryota; Viridiplantae; Streptophyta; Magnoliopsida; Poales; Poaceae. The record is from RNAcentral.